Non-coding RNA from Cinara cedri, 268 nucleotides. NCBI's taxonomy places the organism in Eukaryota, Metazoa, Arthropoda, Insecta, Hemiptera, Aphididae. The record is from the annotation of a GenBank genome assembly.
ACGCCGUUAUGGAUACGACACCGACACGUGCUCACGCCAUGUAUACAUUUGAAUUGCAUCAAUUCUUUAGGCACUGACAGCCGGAUAACGGGUGGCGUUUUUCACUGAAAUCGUUUUCGUUUUGACGGCAGCUGUUGACUAAUAAUAAUGUAAAGAUUUCUGGUGGAGUGAUAAGAAGCUGACAGAGUAUUAGAGCUGCUGCAGACGAGCGUUUGAUUAGAACUAUUACGAAAACGCGAACAUAAACACACGCGGUACGAUCCAUUCG